Molecule: ribosomal RNA, 500 nt
Filed under: Scalibregma inflatum
Lineage: Eukaryota; Metazoa; Annelida; Polychaeta; Scalibregmatidae
Description: partial 16S ribosomal RNA
Rfam family: Bacterial large subunit ribosomal RNA
Source: RNAcentral
ACAUUGCCACACGAUACCCUAUGUGUGGUAAGCCCUGCCCAGUGACUCUCCGUUCAACGGCCGCGGUACCCUGACCGUGCAAAGGUAGCAUAAUCAUUCGCCCUCUAAUUAAGGGAUUGUAUGAAUGGGUAAACGUAAAAGACGCUGUCUCUCAUGCACUUAUAAAAACUAACCUUCAGGUGAAGAGGCCUGAAUAGAAAUAAAGGACAAAAAGACCCUAUUGAGCUUUAUUAGACACUAAAUACUACCCCUCUCCCUGAAAAAACAAAUCUUCCCUAUAAUUUGGUUGGGGCGACCGAGGAAUUAAACCUACUUCCUUUAACUUUAAGACUUACAAGUCUUCUUAAAGAGCCGUUACACGACUCUUGAACCAAGCUACCAUAGGGAUAACAGGCUAAUCCUCCUUAAGAGUUCACAUUGACAGGAGGGCUUGGCACCUCGAUGUUGGCUUAAGGCACCCCUAAGAUGUAGCAGUCUUAAAUGGUAGGUUUGUUCAACCU